UGGGGAAUUUUGGACAAUGGGCGAAAGCCUGAUCCAGCAAUGCCGCGUGUGUGAAGAAGGCCUUCGGGUUGUAAAGCACUUUUGUCCGGAAAGAAAUCCUUGGGCUCUAAUACAGUCGGGGGAUGACGGUACCGGAAGAAUAAGCACCGGCUAACUACGUGCCAGCAGCCGCGGUAAUACGUAGGGUGCAAGCGUUAAUCGGAAUUACUGGGCGUAAAGCGUGCGCAGGCGGUUUGCUAAGACCGAUGUGAAAUCCCCGGGCUCAACCUGGGAACUGCAUUGGUGACUGGCAGGCUAGAGUAUGGCAGAGGGGGGUAGAAUUCCACGUGUAGCAGUGAAAUGCGUAGAGAUGUGGAGGAAUACCGAUGGCGAAGGCAGCCCCCUGGGCCAAUACUGACGCUCAUG
RNAcentral lists this ribosomal RNA (405 nucleotides) under uncultured bacterium. RNAcentral describes it as "partial 16S ribosomal RNA". It matches the Rfam family "Bacterial small subunit ribosomal RNA", at positions 355 to 751 of the family's 1533-position model. The record is from RNAcentral.